RNAcentral lists this ribosomal RNA (1347 nucleotides) under Mycobacterium sp. DWMJ-766A1. Its description in RNAcentral is "bacterial SSU rRNA". It matches the Rfam family "Bacterial small subunit ribosomal RNA", at positions 81 to 1427 of the family's 1533-position model. Lineage: Bacteria; Bacillati; Actinomycetota; Actinomycetes; Mycobacteriales; Mycobacteriaceae. The record is from RNAcentral.
UUCGGGGUACACGAGUGGCGAACGGGUGAGUAACACGUGGGUAAUCUGCCCUGCACAUCGGGAUAAGCCUGGGAAACUGGGUCUAAUACCGAAUAGGACCACAGAACACAUGUCCUGUGGUGGAAAGCUUUUGCGGUGUGGGAUGGGCCCGCGGCCUAUCAGCUUGUUGGUGGGGUGAUGGCCUACCAAGGCGACGACGGGUAGCCGGCCUGAGAGGGUGUCCGGCCACACUGGGACUGAGAUACGGCCCAGACUCCUACGGGAGGCAGCAGUGGGGAAUAUUGCACAAUGGGCGAAAGCCUGAUGCAGCGACGCCGCGUGGGGGAUGACGGCCUUUCGGGUUGUAAACCUCUUUCACCAUCGACGAAGGUCCGGGUUUUCUCGGGCUGACGGUAGGUGGAGAAGAAGCACCGGCCAACUACGUGCCAGCAGCCGCGGUAAUACGUAGGGUGCGAGCGUUGUCCGGAAUUACUGGGCGUAAAGAGCUCGUAGGUGGUUUGUCGCGUUGUUCGUGAAAUCUCACGGCUUAACUGUGAGCGUGCGGGCGAUACGGGCAGACUUGAGUACUGCAGGGGAGACUGGAAUUCCUGGUGUAGCGGUGGAAUGCGCAGAUAUCAGGAGGAACACCGGUGGCGAAGGCGGGUCUCUGGGCAGUAACUGACGCUGAGGAGCGAAAGCGUGGGGAGCGAACAGGAUUAGAUACCCUGGUAGUCCACGCCGUAAACGGUGGGUACUAGGUGUGGGUUUCCUUCCUUGGGAUCCGUGCCGUAGCUAACGCAUUAAGUACCCCGCCUGGGGAGUACGGCCGCAAGGCUAAAACUCAAAGAAAUUGACGGGGGCCCGCACAAGCGGCGGAGCAUGUGGAUUAAUUCGAUGCAACGCGAAGAACCUUACCUGGGUUUGACAUGCACAGGACGCCGGCAGAGAUGUCGGUUCCCUUGUGGCCUGUGUGCAGGUGGUGCAUGGCUGUCGUCAGCUCGUGUCGUGAGAUGUUGGGUUAAGUCCCGCAACGAGCGCAACCCUUGUCUCAUGUUGCCAGCGGGUAAUGCCGGGGACUCGUGAGAGACUGCCGGGGUCAACUCGGAGGAAGGUGGGGAUGACGUCAAGUCAUCAUGCCCCUUAUGUCCAGGGCUUCACACAUGCUACAAUGGCCGGUACAAAGGGCUGCGAUGCCGCAAGGUUAAGCGAAUCCUUUUAAAGCCGGUCUCAGUUCGGAUCGGGGUCUGCAACUCGACCCCGUGAAGUCGGAGUCGCUAGUAAUCGCAGAUCAGCAACGCUGCGGUGAAUACGUUCCCGGGCCUUGUACACACCGCCCGUCACGUCAUGAAAGUCGGUAACACCCGAAGC